Molecule: ribosomal RNA, 425 nt
Filed under: uncultured bacterium
Lineage: Bacteria
Description: bacterial SSU rRNA
Rfam family: Bacterial small subunit ribosomal RNA
Source: RNAcentral
GUGGGGAAUCUUAGACAAUGGGCGCAAGCCUGAUCUAGCCAUGCCGCGUGAGCGAUGAAGGCCUUAGGGUUGUAAAGCUCUUUCAGUGGGGACGAUAAUGACGGUACCCACAGAAGAAGCCCCGGCUAACUUCGUGCCAGCAGCCGCGGUAAUACGAAGGGGGCUAGCGUUGUUCGGAUUUACUGGGCGUAAAGCGCACGUAGGCGGAUCGUUAAGUCGGGGGUGAAAUCCUGGAGCUCAACUCCAGAACUGCCUUCGAUACUGGCGAUCUUGAGUCCGGAAGAGGUGAGUGGAACUCCUAGUGUAGAGGUGGAAUUCGUAGAUAUUAGGAAGAACACCAGUGGCGAAGGCGGCUCACUGGUCCGGUACUGACGCUGAGGUGCGAAAGCGUGGGGAGCAAACAGGAUUAGAUACCCCGGUAGUCC